This 399-nucleotide ribosomal RNA is filed under the name Triticum aestivum (bread wheat). RNAcentral's name for it is "partial small subunit ribosomal RNA". The record is from RNAcentral. Lineage: Eukaryota; Viridiplantae; Streptophyta; Magnoliopsida; Poales; Poaceae.
AUGCCGCAGCACUUCUGGUCUGUGGAGGGGGCGGAGGAGGCGCUCGGCUGUCGUGUCGACCGCCUCGACAGCCGCACGUUUGAGCGCAGCCACACCAAGAGCUUCGCCUGCUGGGUCUGGAUCUGGGACGUUGGCCUUAUCCCGACCAAGCACACCUUCUGGCUGAUGCAGCGCGGGGUGGGCAGAGUGGAGGACAUGCUGGGCUUCUCGCCGCCCGGCCGCGUCGUCGCCGCGCCGCCGUUAGCAAGCCACCACGACGUCCUCAUCCACGUCAAUCGCAUCGAGGACUGGACCCCGUACGAGCCGCGGUCGCCACGCUCUGCUCAGAGUGGCCUGCCGUCCUCGGACUUGGAUGACGAUGAUAGGCCGAUGCCGCACAUCAUCCCGGUGGCCUCCUGA